This 393-nucleotide ribosomal RNA is filed under the name uncultured bacterium. RNAcentral describes it as "partial 16S ribosomal RNA". It matches the Rfam family "Bacterial small subunit ribosomal RNA", at positions 522 to 918 of the family's 1533-position model. The record is from RNAcentral.
AAUACGGAGGAUCCGAGCGUUAUCCGGAUUUAUUGGGUUUAAAGGGUGCGCAGGCGGCCAUUUAAGUCAGCGGUUAAAUCGUGGGGCUCAACCCCAUUCUGCCGUUGAUACUGGGUGGCUUGAUUGCGGUCGAGGUUGGCGGAAUUCGUUGUGUAGCGGUGAAAUGCAUAGAUAUGACGAAGAACACCGAUUGCGUAGGCAGCUGACCAGACCGCAAAUGACGCUCAUGCACGAAAGUGCGGGGAUCGAACAGGAUUAGAUACCCUGGUAGUCCGCACAGUAAACGAUGAAUACUUGUUUUCGGCGAUAUAAUGUCGGAGGCAAAGCGAAAGCGAUAAGUAUUCCACCUGGGGAGUACGCCGGCAACGGUGAAACUCAAAGGAAUUGACGGGG